This 538-nucleotide ribosomal RNA is filed under the name uncultured bacterium. RNAcentral's name for it is "bacterial SSU rRNA". It matches the Rfam family "Bacterial small subunit ribosomal RNA", at positions 335 to 864 of the family's 1533-position model. The record is from RNAcentral.
CACCUACGGGUGGCAGCAGUGAGGAAUAUUGCGCAAUGGGCGAAAGCCUGACGCAGCGACGCCGCGUGGAGGAUGAAGGUCUUAGGAUUGUAAACUUCUGUUAAGCGGGAAGAAAGACAUGGCUUUAAUAGAGCCGUGGGAUGACGGUACCGCUAGAGAAAGCACCGGCUAACUUCGUGCCAGCAGCCGCGGUAAUACGAAGGGUGCAAACGUUAUUCGGAUUAAUUGGGCGUAAAGGGUACGUAGGCGGUACGCUAAGUCAACUGUUAAAUCUCCCGGCCUAACUGGGAAUCAGCAGUAGAUACUGGUGUGCUAGAGGAUGGAAGAGAGAAGUGGAAUUCUUGGAGUAGAGGUAAAAUUCGUAGAUCUCAAGAGGAACACCGAUGGCGAAGGCAGCUUCUUGGUCCAUAUCUGACGCUCAGGUACGAAAGCGUGGGGAGCAAACAGGAUUAGAUACCCUGGUAGUCCACGCUGUAAACGAUGAUCACUAGACGUUGGUUCUGCUCUGCAGAAUUAGUGUCGUAGCUAACGCGUUAAG